AAAAUAAAUGGUAGGGGAGCUGGAGGCAUAACAGGUCUGUGAUGCCCUUAGAUGUUCUGGGCUGCACGCGCGCGACACUGAUCUAUUCAACGAGCGUAUGGGAUCAAUAAAUUUGGGGAAUCUUUUGAAAAUAAAUCGGGCGGGGAAUGGAGGCUUGAAAUUUUCCUUCAGGAACAAGGAAUUCCAAUUAAACCCAAGCCAUCACCUUGCUUUGAUUACUUCCCGGCCCUUUGAACACCCCGCCCGCCGCACCUACCAAUUGAAGGGCCCAAUAAACCCUUUGAAUUUAAUAAAA
This 295-nucleotide ribosomal RNA is filed under the name Blastocystis sp. subtype 14. RNAcentral describes it as "partial small subunit ribosomal RNA". It matches the Rfam family "Eukaryotic small subunit ribosomal RNA", at positions 1426 to 1724 of the family's 1831-position model. The record is from RNAcentral. Lineage: Eukaryota; Bigyra; Opalinata; Blastocystidae.